AACUUACCUAAGGGAGCUUGCGCUCUUCUGUGCUCCUCUGUGGAACAUGACCGUGCUCCAGUUCUUGGCGUGCGAGUAAAUGUUCUCCUGUCCCGGUAUCUCAUUGAACCAUGCAGUUCAGGAAAAUCCAAAGUUACCUACAUGUGUAGAAUUGAUUUAAGGGGGCAUAAGCCUGACUGGUAUGCAAAAGCUUUCGGACAUUUAUGUGCAGCAGAAGUUGUUAAGAUCAGAGAUUCUUUCACUAAGCAGAACGUUGAGAAUAAGGAAGCGAAAUCCAGGUGACUACUGAAGCAGACCAACUCUGCAUUCAACCCGCCACAGUCGGUGUGCAUCAGUGCGCCCAGGAGCUCCUGAUUGUUUGCUGCAGAACGGAUCCUGGUGUGGUCUGAAGUUCUCAUGUGAACCAAGAGUAUCUGGAAUUGGUCUGAUAUUCUCACUCAAAAUGCUGGGGCAAUACCAUGAAUUUUAAAGCUGCUUCUUCCUGUUGUUGUUAGGCCUAUCGUAUAGGCCUUGACUGGAAUAUAUUGGACAUUACACAAAAAGAAUUUUUAAAGUAUAUUAUUCUAUGUAUGAAUUGCUUCUGAGAAGCAACAUUCGAAGAAAUGUAUUCUGGAAUACAGUGGGAAAUGAUUUUCCCUUUGCAUAUGUAUCUGUGUGCUGUUUGUUGAGGGACUGUUGCAGCCACUGGAUGUGUUGGUACUCUUCACUGUCGUCCUCUCUAAAGUAAGUGAAGGAAGGUUUGCACAGAGACAAAGGUGUUGAACGGCUGUCUGAAUUUUGGACAGCCUUGGAUACAGGUUUAGUAGAAGCACAGUGUCUGGUACACUCAAAGGCAAUUAGGAAGAGUCUUCAUGUUGUGAGGAAAGAGUUCAGCCUGGGAUUUUUGCCUGCCCAGCAGACCUUCAGAAGCUUGUCUUGUGUGUCACGCAUAAAUAAAUGGGGCAGGACUAAGGAAGGCAAAACAUGAUGCCCAAUGAAGAAUUUAUGGGAGAGGUUAAAAACGUCCAAUGCGCUUCAGUAUGUCUCUUUCAAGGGCAGUGGCUCUGUAUCUUCUCCUGUUUGAAAGAAGUGUUCUCCACAUCUUGACAUGGAGGCAAAUAAGCCUUUUCCCCUGGAGUGUAUGCUUAACAGCCUCAUGUACCUCUAUGAAAUGAAUUUGCCACAGUCACAUUUUAAACAUCAAGGUGACCAUUUAAAAAACAAUACAUGCAUUGGCGCUUAGAGUUCUAGCUCUCAAUAUGCUCUAUAUUGGGAAAAGAUGCUAGUAGAAACAUAUUCACUGUGUUUAAUUCAACUCUCUUUUUCCAUGUAUGUAUAUACCCAUCAUUUUAUCCAUACGCUCCUGCUAAGAAACAGGCCAGAUUCGUAACUGACCUUGUUUGUUUGGAUCUCAUAGGAAAGAAGAGAAAGCUUAAAGGCACAAUAGUAGAGCUGACGUUGCUUUCAGCAGCUUAAAGAAAAAUAGCACUGGAAAAAAUAGUAUAACUGGAGCAUAAAACAUUCUAAAGUCAUCCAGUGUAAUAGAUACUGUGUUAGGAGUUUGAAGGUGUUCAUAUCAUCUGCUCUCACACAACCGUAUUAACCUCAUUUAGCCAAAUGCUUGGGGCGGGGGGGAUUUCCCAAAUCCUGAGCUUUGUUGAAGGUUGGAUAAGCGAAAUGAUUGUUGCUGUUAGAUUACUUGAGGCAAAUUGAAGGACUGCAGGUCAGGAGCAUGGCAGAUGGGGCAGUACGUUGCACAGACCAGUGGCUUUCAGAGGAAAACCCAGACCUGUUAACUCCAUCACCACGAGCAUUCGGAUGGCCAUAGCCAGUGACAUCUGGGUAGGGGCUUGCAGAAUCAAUGUGUUUCUGAAAGUAGUACACUCACUGUUUCAGGUGUUGCCAGAAAAACCUCUCACUCUUUUGCGGGGAGGAGUAUCACGUUGUCAAAUAUGACAUACGCAAGAGAGAAUCAAGAAAGCUUCUUUGUAAAAAAAAAAAAAAAAGUUUGGGUGCAAGAAGGUAAAAACAGAGUGGCAAGAGAGGGCAGAGGGGGUCCUUUUGUGAUGGACUUCCCCAGUGUUUCAGACCCCACAGGAUUAUGCUUCAGGUGCACCUCCAUCUCUAGGUAUGAGAUAGCCAUAACAGAUGCUGUUCAAUUCUACUGCUGUUCUGUCAUUCAGUGUUGAAGUAUAUCCAGUUGGAUUCAGGCUAUAUUUUCCUAUUUAUUUUAUUUAUCUUAUUUUGUGAUGUUUAUAGUCUGCCUUUCUCACUGAAGACUCAAGGUGGGAUACAGGAUGGUGGUGGUAGAGAGAGCCCUCAAGUCAGAGUUGAUAUAUGGCGACUCCUGGUGGGAUUUUCGUGGCAAGAGACUAACAGGUGGUUUGCCAUUGAAUGUCUCUGCAGCCCAGGUCUUCGUUGGAGGUCUCCCAUCCCAUUACUAACCAAGGCCAGCCCUACUUAGCUUCUGAGAUCUGACAAGAUUAGGCUCACCUGGACUAUCCAGGGCAGGGAUACAGGAUAAAAUCAACCCCCAAAAAUCAACAGUGUAGACAAACAGCGUAAGACAACCCAAAGAAAACUGCAAUAGGACUACAGUUACAGAACUAGGGAACACUGCAAACAACUUACAAUAAUCAUUGUCAUGGAUUACAUCUUACUUUAUUAUAAUAAUGGUGCCCUUCUGGGCAGAAUGGAACUCCACCUCCCCUCUCUACAUCCCACCAGCCUCUACAAAAUGCUGUUUCUGGGAGAUGAGGGCUCCAGGAGAAAGUUACGAGGGAGGGCUGCAGAAGGAAGGAGGAAUCAGUGGAAAUGGCCAGUUUGGUCUGGAUCUAACUCAUAAUCUCCAAGAGCAGGUCUUUGACUCUUGCUGUGAAUCUUGCCCUGCCAACCCCCAGAAACUUGCAAUUGUGUCCUGUGUAAGGUUUGUGCUUUGGUAUAGAGAUGCACUAUUAGUAUAGAGAUGCACUGAACAAGUAUGAGUAAGGUAUGAAUGAAAAAUAUAAAAUGGAAGAUAGAUGGUUGGGUGGUGGUGGUUUAAAACAAAGGCUUUAAAGAGAGACCCAUCCUUAGAGUUGUCCUGUCCCAGGCUUUCUGACUUUUCAGUGUCUUUUAAAACUCCUUUCUGUGUCCCUACAACCAGGGACAACUGCUAAGCUGUGCAUUGGACCAAAGAUGGUGUGAAGUUGGCCUGUUCGUUCCAUCUUCCUUACUUGCAUUGAAGAAAAGGACCACACAGCUUAGAGGUUGCCUUACAACUUGGGCCCUUUCCUGGUUUCUCCAUCUCAAAGCAGUGACAUGGCUGGAAGCAGCCCUCGGUUACCAUUAUCAGUAUUAUUGCUUUUAAAGUUUUUGUGAUGAAGAAUUGUGAUGGUGCCAACAGGCUUGUAUUGUGCUUGUAGGCAUGGCCAGUGCCUGCAUCGUUACCCCGUGUAAUUUUGUCUUGUUUUUGUUUUGCCCUUCCCCUCAUUGUUCUUUGCACAUUUUGUAAUAACCACACACACAGGAAAAAAGUCAACACAGGAAAUAGUAGGGAGAAAAGAUGUGAUACGGCAAGCCUUGCAUUUGAUCCUUUUCAAGCAACAAACAGACGGGAACAAUGUUCUUCCCAGAAGUUGUGAAGAACAUUGCAGGGUGUCAGUGCAAGCUCUAAUGAAACUUUGACUCCUCUUUUGCAAACCUAAAGGUAUACAUGAUACAACCAAGGAUCAGGUGUGGACUAAUACCAACUCUUUUGGAUUAUGUUACGAGACUCCUCCUGGAGGGGAAAGUAGCUGUGUUAGAUUAUACAGUUGUGUCCCCACCCUCAGUGGUUGUGAGGCCAAACUACGCGUUCAGUUUUUAACAAGUUCGUUCCACAUUCUCUGCAGCUCCACAGCAGCUGCGGGGAAUGGCUUUUUGUAAAAAAUAAAGGAGAGUCCAAACAGGCUUGGAAUGAGACUGUGGGUGCAUUCCACCUUCAAGACAUUUUCCUGCACAGAAACAGCACUGAGGAGGAAUACAUACCCAUUUUUGCUGUUUUGAUAACAAGCAGAAGUCCUUCCUCUCCCUGCAGCUGUGUUCUGAGCCUGUUUGGGCUCUUUUAUUUUUUAAAACCAUUCGCCGUAGCUGCUUUGUAGAUGCAAGGAACCCAGACCCAACUCAUUAAAAACCCGGACGUGUAGUUUGGCCAGCUGAGUGUGUUUAGGAUCACAACAUUAGUAUUCCUCAUGAAUAGGGCAACCUUGUGCAUUCUUUGUAUACUGUCCUAAACAUUUAAAUGUGUGAAAAUAUAUGUUGUACAUACCGUUCUGUUGUAAACGUGUACACUUGCUUACAGUUAAUUGUCCAGUAUAGAUAAAGCAUGAACAUAAUUAUUUAAAUAUACUUGUAUUCAGGGCUUUUUUCCUGGGAAAAGAGGUGGUGGAACUCAGGACCGCACAAUGAUGUCACUUUGGGUCAGCUGGAACAAGGGGGGAGUUUUUUAAAGUUUAAAUCACCCUUGGCGAAAAUGGUCACAUGUCCGGUGGCCCAGCCCCCUGAUCUUCAGACAGAGGGGAGUUUAGAUUGCCCUCCGCGCUGUAGCGCAGCGGCACGGAAAGCAAUCUCAACUCCCCUCUGUCUGGAGAUCAGGGGGGCGGGGCCACCGGACAUGUGACCAUUUUCAAGAUGUGCCGGAACUCCGUUCCACCACGUUCCCGAUGAAAAAAAGCCCUGCUUGUAUUUAUACCUCAGAUAUUCUUUUGGGGGAGGGGAGGAUUUUGUACCUCAAGUUGUCUCCCCUUCGUCCACCCUCAUGUAAAUAACUUUUCCACAAUUAAGGUCUCAGUAAAAGAAGAAAAGGUUUAUAUCUUGCUGUUAUAUGUCUGUACAGUAUAUAAUCAAUAAAUGCACUAUUAAAUAUU
Long non-coding RNA from Eublepharis macularius, 4865 nucleotides. RefSeq lists it as uncharacterized. Lineage: Eukaryota; Metazoa; Chordata; Lepidosauria; Squamata; Eublepharidae. The transcript is spliced from 2 exons. The record is from RefSeq and is a predicted model, not a curated record.